This 540-nucleotide long non-coding RNA is filed under the name Triticum aestivum (bread wheat). Its description in RNAcentral is "long non-coding RNA (TAES_LNC004791)". The record is from RNAcentral. Lineage: Eukaryota; Viridiplantae; Streptophyta; Magnoliopsida; Poales; Poaceae.
CCGCCGACGAGCACAAACGCACCAAAAAACCUGUGUAAGAAAGGCAUCGUUAUUUAUCAGAAACAAUUAUUUAGUAAUUACUAUUUAGCAGAAUGACUAAUAGGUAAGACAUACAGGUGCAAAGAUCUCAUGCUCUCAUGGUAAAUCCUAUAAUUAACCAGGGUCAUCAUUCUUAAUCACAAUCCACAACUACAAAACCAAGAAAAGCCUUAGUGAUCAUGAAGGGCAUGAAUGAUUAGCAAAAAGUGGAACGGGCUGAUGAGAGAUACACAGAGUGAGAGGCAUGAGAUCCUCACAGUAGCACCACCAUGUUUAGAGACUUGCAGCUCCGGCUUGCUGCUCAGCCGGCGGACACGACACCGACCUCUCACCGCAUCAACGACUCGGUUGUACGCUAUAUGGAGCAGCAGAAAAAAGGAGAUCAGAACUGUAAAUAUGAACAUCUAUGAGAGAGGGGAACCUGAGAUGCGGUACCUGAGCGCACGCGCAACACGAGUACAACAACCGCACACGAUGGUGACCCCAACGGAGCAGUGGCCU